Molecule: ribosomal RNA, 509 nt
Filed under: Arthrobotrys conoides
Lineage: Eukaryota; Fungi; Ascomycota; Orbiliomycetes; Orbiliales; Orbiliaceae
Description: SSU rRNA
Rfam family: Eukaryotic small subunit ribosomal RNA
Source: RNAcentral
GGAUAACCGUGGUAAUUCUAGAGCUAAUACAUGCUAAAAAUCCCGACCUCCGGAAGGGAUGUAUUUAUUAGAUAAAAAACCAAUGCCUUCGGGCUCCUUGGUGAUUCAUGAUAACUUAACGAAUCGCAUGGCCUUGCGCCGGCGAUGGUUCAUUCAAAUUUCUGCCCUAUCAACUUUCGAUGGUAGGAUAGUGGCCUACCAUGGUUUCAACGGGUAACGGGGAAUUAGGGUUCGAUUCCGGAGAGGGAGCCUWAGAAACGGCUACCACAUCCAAGGAAGGCAGCAGGCGCGCAAAUUACCCAAUCCCGAUUCGGGGAGGUAGUAACAAUAAAUACUGAUACAGGGCUCUUUUGGGUCUUGUAAUUDGAAUUAGUACAAUUUAAAUCCCUUAACGAGGAACAAUUGGAGGGCAAGUCUDGUGCCAACAGCCGCGGUAAUUCCAGCUCCAAUAGCGUAUAUUAAAGUUGUUGCAGUUAAAAAGCUCGUAGUUGAACCUUGGGUUUGGCUGC